UACGUAGGGACCGAGCGUUGUCCGGAAUCAUUGGGCGUAAAGAGCGUGUAGGCGGCCAGGUAGGUCUGCUGUGAAAACUCGAGGCUCAACCUCGAGACGUCGGCGGAAACCAUCUGGCUAGAGUCCGGAAGAGGAGAGUGGAAUUCCUGGUGUAGCGGUGAAAUGCGCAGAUAUCAGGAAGAACGCCCGUGGCUAAGGCGGUUCUCUAGUACGGUACUGACGCUGAGACGCGAAAGCGUGGGGAGCGAACAGG
RNAcentral lists this ribosomal RNA (253 nucleotides) under uncultured bacterium. RNAcentral's name for it is "partial 16S ribosomal RNA". It matches the Rfam family "Bacterial small subunit ribosomal RNA", at positions 524 to 776 of the family's 1533-position model. The record is from RNAcentral.